RNAcentral lists this ribosomal RNA (396 nucleotides) under uncultured bacterium. Its description in RNAcentral is "bacterial SSU rRNA". It matches the Rfam family "Bacterial small subunit ribosomal RNA", at positions 28 to 418 of the family's 1533-position model. The record is from RNAcentral.
GAUGAACGCUAGCGGCAGGCUUAAUACAUGCAAGUCGAGGGGCAGCAGUCCCGCAGCAAUGCGGGAGCUGGCGACCGGCAAACGGGUGCGGAACACGUACAGAACCUUCCUUCGAGCGGGGAAUAGCCCAGAGAAAUUUGGAUUAAUACCCCAUAGCAUUACGAAGUGGCAUCACUUUGUAAUUAAAGAUUUAUCACUCGAAGAUGGCUGUGCGGCUGAUAGGUAGUUGGCGGAGUAACGGCCCACCAAGCCUUCGAUCAGUAACUGGUGUGAGAGCACGACCAGUCACACGGGCACUGAGACACGGGCCCGACUCCUACGGGAGGCAGCAGUAAGGAAUAUUGGUCAAUGGACGAAAGUCUGAACCAGCCAUGCCGCGUGGAGGAUGAAGGUCCU